UUCAUGCUCGCCGUAGUUCGUCGUUUGUUUUUUGAUGCGGUUGUCGCAAUCUGUUUCAUCCACCAUCAUCUGUAACGUUUUUCCACAUGGAGACUGUUGAGUGUCUUAUCAUUUGGAACGAGCACAAGAACGUGAUGCACAUUGGAGCGAACAGGAAUAAGAACGAUGUUAGAAGCGCCUUUCUGACGUCUGAGCUAGGAAGAUGUGUUCCGCAAGGCUCAUCGUUAGUCAUUCAGGUAUGUAUACGCCAAUUAGACCCACUGAUUACUUUGCUGCAUGACGCUUUAGAGCGAAAAAUGUAAAAAAAGUGUUAAUUUAGACAACAAACGACGUGGAUUCUCGUCAUUGCAGUAGGCAAUGCAAGCGUUUAGUUUUAGCAGUGUUACCGUGCGUUGUGUCAACCUUCCUAGUGAUUUCUGGUGAAGCUAACUCAUGGUUUAAGCUUUGCAAGCGAGUAUAUGAGUUGUGGCAGACGUUUGCCUGUUGCGGAUGCUUGUGAUAGGAUAGAAUAGAAACACAUAACAUGAACCAGUUGUGCUUCUUACAGCUAUACAGCAAGAAAUUUUCUGAGUUCGUCGACAUGGAAGACCUUGACCGAGUAGAGAAUUUAGACAAGAUUAAUAUCGUUGUCAAGGCACGCGUGCAACAAGAAACAGAAUAUGCCGACGAAGCACUUCAUGUUGUCACGUGAGCAUGUAGGAUACUACGACACUGACAAUGGUUGAAAGAAAAACCAGCUCGCCACUUGUAAUAGUGCAAGAGAAUACGCAUGCGAUCUAGCCUAGCUACCGUUGCAAAUUAUGUGAUGUUGGCGAUUUUUAUGGUGAAACUGUUUUGUCUCUGAUAUUUUGCUUUGCUGUGAAGGGAGCCAGCUCUGAGGGAAGUCAAAAAGCUGUAUAAGCUGCCUGAACCGACAUAUGAUAUUCAAUGCGUCAAAUCUCUACGCCUUGGAGACAGCAUCACUUCAGAAAUGCGCAACCGCAUAGUGAAAUGGCUCCAUGCUGACAUUUUGCGCUAUGACCUGUAAGUUCAAAAUCAGGUGGACUAUUACCAAUGUAGCCCAUAUGUUUGCAUGUUGUAACCUGUUGCAACAGCCUAUUUGUGAAUUUGCUGCAAUGCAGAUACCCAGGUAGAAAGAACUUGUACUACGAAGCUGCGAGUCAGUUGGUCUACAUGUACCCAGCUCUGAGGGAUGCAUCAGGAACAGGAUUUGCAUGUUCUGCAACUGUCAUAUUGUAAUCUGUUUGCACUGCAGGUCCACAUAAAAUCAUACUAAGUAAUAAGGUACUGCAUGAGACAUACUUGUCUGAAAUCGUCAGUUGAUGGUUCUGUAGCCUAUGAAGGUUUUGUGGCUGUUCAAAGUGCUGUACUGAUAUUUUGGUGUAUGCUGGACCGUAAGCUGCACCAUUUUACUAUUCAGGGCAAGCAAUAUUUCUGCAUCUGAUGAUUUCACAGAUCAAAAACCAUGAGGGUUUAAUUUCAGACAAGUGUGUCACAUGCCGUACAAUUGCGAAGUAAUGUUAAAAAUAAAUCGGAGAAAUAUAUCUUCCUUGCUGUCCCUCAUUAUUUCCCAAUGUAAAAAUGAAGUUGUAUGCGGUAAUAAAAGCAAGUUAACUGAAACAAAAAGUGAUAUCAAUGCUAUUGAAUAAAAAUAAAUGCAGGACUCAUGGCAGCGAGCGUUGAAGUUCCGAACUAAAAACCAAAGAAAGAAGUUGUCUCAUAUACCUGAAGUGGAGGAGCAGCGGCAGAGGUUCAACCUGCUUAAAAGGAAGAUGCCUCCCCACAGUAACGAACCGAAACGAGUAUGCUUUCGCGCCAUGAAUGGUCCAGCUUUGACAGCAAGCCCUCCAAAUGAAACUUUUCAUGAAAGGUUGGCAUGGCUACGAAAUGAAAAGCCAACUGUACUGGAGGUUUUGAGGAGAUACCCUUCACUCGCAACUACCAGUGGGAUCCAUGAGGAGUUUUCACAGCACAGUGGGAAAAAUGCUGAGAAAGAACUGCUUUGGCUGCUCAACACCAAGGCAGAGAGCAUAAUACAGCUUGCCAGGAAGAAGAAAAGUGGGGCCACUGUGGUUUCGCUUGUACAUGAGAAACUUAAGGAGCUUUCCUGCCAGAGUGAGCAAAAAUGUAGGUACCCCGUAUGAAGAGUUCUAUUUUGCUCACAUCAUUUGUUCACUUGCCUACAGGUCUGCCUCAGGUAUAACUGCCACUUACACAAUGUCUCAUUUCUUCAGUCCAACAGUGAAAACGUUUGAUGUGUGUUUUCUGUGAUGAUCUGUCUCCAGUAACAUGUGCUGCGCUCCUAUUUCAUCCGCUUGUUACCAAUUCCAGAUUGCUACUCAG
Ornithodoros turicata is the source of this 2343-nucleotide long non-coding RNA. RefSeq lists it as uncharacterized. The record is from RefSeq and is a predicted model, not a curated record. The transcript is spliced from 3 exons. Lineage: Eukaryota; Metazoa; Arthropoda; Arachnida; Ixodida; Argasidae.